GGGUUGUGAGGUUAAGCGACUAAGCGUACACGGUGGAUGCCCUGGCAGUCAGAGGCGAUGAAGGACGUGCUAAUCUGCGAAAAGCGUCGGUAAGGUGAUAUGAACCGUUACAGCCGGCGAUGUCCGAAUGGGGAAACCCAGUGCAAUUCGUUGCACUAUCGUUAACUGAAUACAUAGGUUAACGAGGCGAACCGGGGGAACUGAAACAUCUAAGUACCCCGAGGAAAAGAAAUCAACCGAGAUUCCCCCAGUAGCGGCGAGCGAACGGGGAGCAGCCCAGAGUCUGAAUCAGCUUGUGUGUUAGUGGAACGGUCUGGAAAGUCCGACGGUACAGGGUGAUAGUCCCGUACACCAAAAUGCACAGGUUGUGAACUCGAAGAGUAGGGCGGGACACGUGGUAUCCUGUCUGAAUAUGGGGGGACCAUCCUCCAAGGCUAAAUACUCCUGACUGACCGAUAGUGAACCAGUACCGUGAGGGAAAGGCGAAAAGAACCCCGGCGAGGGGAGUGAAAAAGAACCUGAAACCGUGUACGUACAAGCAGUGGGAGCACCCUUUAGGGUGUGACUGCGUACCUUUUGUAUAAUGGGUCAGCGACUUAUAUUCUGUAGCAAGGUUAACCGUAUAGGGGAGCCGCAGGGAAACCGAGUCUUAACUGGGCGUUAAGUUGCAGGGUAUAGACCCGAAACCCGGUGAUCUAGCCAUGGGCAGGUUGAAGGUUGGGUAACACUAACUGGAGGACCGAACCGACUAAUGUUGAAAAAUUAGCGGAUGACUUGUGGCUGGGGGUGAAAGGCCAAUCAAACCGGGAGAUAGCUGGUUCUCCCCGAAAGCUAUUUAGGUAGCGCCUCGUGAACUCAUCUUCGGGGGUAGAGCACUGUUUCGGCUAGGGGGUCAUCCCGACUUACCAACCCGAUGCAAACUACGAAUACCGAAGAAUGUUAUCACGGGAGACACACGGCGGGUGCUAACGUCCGUCGUGAAGAGGGAAACAACCCAGACCGCCAGCUAAGGUCCCAAAGUCACAGUUAAGUGGGAAACGAUGUGGGAAGGCACAGACAGCCAGGAUGUUGGCUUAGAAGCAGCCAUCAUUUAAAGAAAGCGUAAUAGCUCACUGGUCGAGUCGGCCUGCGCGGAAGAUGUAACGGGGCUAAACUGUGCACCGAAGCUGCGGCAGCGACACUAUGUGUUGUUGGGUAGGGGAGCGUUCUGUAAGCCUGCGAAGGUGGCCUGUGAGGGUUGCUGGAGGUAUCAGAAGUGCGAAUGCUGACAUAAGUAACGAUAAUGCGGGUGAAAAGCCCGCACGCCGGAAGACCAAGGGUUCCUGUCCAACGUUAAUCGGGGCAGGGUGAGUCGACCCCUAAGGCGAGGCCGAAAGGCGUAGUCGAUGGGAAACAGGUUAAUAUUCCUGUACUUGGUGUUACUGCGAAGGGGGGACGGAGAAGGCUAUGUUAGCCGGGCGACGGUUGUCCCGGUUUAAGCAUGUAGGCGGAGGUUCCAGGUAAAUCCGGUACCUUUUAACGCUGAGGUGUGAUGACGAGGCACUACGGUGCUGAAGUAACAAAUGCCCUGCUUCCAGGAAAAGCCUCUAAGCAUCAGGUAACAUUGAAUCGUACCCCAAACCGACACAGGUGGUCAGGUAGAGAAUACCAAGGCGCUUGAGAGAACUCGGGUGAAGGAACUAGGCAAAAUGGUGCCGUAACUUCGGGAGAAGGCACGCUGAUAUGUAGGUGAAGCCCCUGCGGGUGGAGCUGAAAUCAGUCGAAGAUACCAGCUGGCUGCAACUGUUUAUUAAAAACACAGCACUGUGCAAACACGAAAGUGGACGUAUACGGUGUGACGCCUGCCCGGUGCCGGAAGGUUAAUUGAUGGGGUUAUCCGUAAGGAGAAGCUCUUGAUCGAAGCCCCGGUAAACGGCGGCCGUAACUAUAACGGUCCUAAGGUAGCGAAAUUCCUUGUCGGGUAAGUUCCGACCUGCACGAAUGGCGUAAUGAUGGCCAGGCUGUCUCCACCCGAGACUCAGUGAAAUUGAACUCGCUGUGAAGAUGCAGUGUACCCGCGGCAAGACGGAAAGACCCCGUGAACCUUUACUAUAGCUUGACACUGAACAUUGAGCCUUGAUGUGUAGGAUAGGUGGGAGGCUUUGAAGCGUGGACGCCAGUCUGCGUGGAGCCAACCUUGAAAUACCACCCUUUAAUGUUUGAUGUUCUAACGUUGGCCCCUUAUCGGGGUUGCGGACAGUGUCUGGUGGGUAGUUUGACUGGGGCGGUCUCCUCCCAAAGAGUAACGGAGGAGCACGAAGGUUAGCUAAUCCUGGUCGGACAUCAGGAGGUUAGUGCAAUGGCAUAAGCUAGCUUGACUGCGAGCGUGACGGCGCGAGCAGGUGCGAAAGCAGGUCAUAGUGAUCCGGUGGUUCUGAAUGGAAGGGCCAUCGCUCAACGGAUAAAAGGUACUCCGGGGAUAACAGGCUGAUACCGCCCAAGAGUUCAUAUCGACGGCGGUGUUUGGCACCUCGAUGUCGGCUCAUCACAUCCUGGGGCUGAAGUAGGUCCCAAGGGUAUGGCUGUUCGCCAUUUAAAGUGGUACGCGAGCUGGGUUUAGAACGUCGUGAGACAGUUCGGUCCCUAUCUGCCGUGGGCGCUGGAGAAUUGAGGGGGGCUGCUCCUAGUACGAGAGGACCGGAGUGGACGCAUCACUGGUGUUCGGGUUGUCAUGCCAAUGGCAUUGCCCGGUAGCUAAAUGCGGAAGAGAUAAGUGCUGAAAGCAUCUAAGCACGAAACUUGCCCCGAGAUGAGUUCUCCCUGAGACUUUAAGUCUCCUGAAGGAACGUUAAAGACGAUGACGUUGAUAGGUCGGGUGUGUAAGCGUAGCGAUACGUUGAGCUAACCGAUACUAAUGAACCGUGAGGCUUAACCUUACAACGCCGAAGGUGUUU
This 2933-nucleotide ribosomal RNA is filed under the name Klebsiella aerogenes. Its description in RNAcentral is "bacterial LSU rRNA". It matches the Rfam family "Bacterial large subunit ribosomal RNA". The record is from RNAcentral. Lineage: Bacteria; Pseudomonadati; Pseudomonadota; Gammaproteobacteria; Enterobacterales; Enterobacteriaceae.